This 888-nucleotide ribosomal RNA is filed under the name uncultured bacterium. RNAcentral describes it as "bacterial SSU rRNA". It matches the Rfam family "Bacterial small subunit ribosomal RNA", at positions 8 to 944 of the family's 1533-position model. The record is from RNAcentral.
AGAGUUUGAUCAUGGCUCAGAACGUACGCUGGCGGCACGCCUUAUACAUGCAAGUCGAACGAAGUAGCAAUACUUAGUGGCAGACGGGUGAGUAACAUGUGGGUAUCUGCCCUUUGGCCUGGAAUAACACGAGGAAACUUGUGCUAAUACUGGAUAAGUCUUUACGGAGAAAGCUUUAUGCACCAUUGGAUGAGCCCGCACUUGAUUAGUUUGUUGGUGGGGUAAUGGCCUACCAAGACUUUGAUCAAUAGCUGAUUUGAGAGGAUGAUCAGCCACAUUGGGACUGAGACACGGCCCAAACUCCUACGGGAGGCAGCAGUGGGGAAUCUUGCACAAUGGAGGAAACUCUGAUGCAGCGAUGCCGCGUGAGUGAAGAAGGCCCUUGGGUUGUAAAGCUCUUUCGUCGGGGAAGAAAAUGACUGUACCCGAAUAAGAAGGUCCGGCUAACUUCGUGCCAGCAGCCGCGGUAAUACGAAGGGACCUAGCGUAGAUCGGAAUUACUGGGCUUAAAGAGUUCGUAGGUGGUUGAAAAAGUUGGUGGUGAAAUCCCAGAGCUUAACUCUGGAACUGCCAUCAAAACUUUUCAGCUAGAGUUUGAUAGAGGAAAGCAGAAUUUCUAGUGUAGAGGUGAAAUUCGUAGAUAUUAGAAAGAAUACCAAUUGCGAAGGCAGCUUUCUGGAUCAUUACUGACACUGAGGAACGAAAGCAUGGGUAGCGAAGAGGAUUAGAUACCCUCGUAGUCCAUGCCGUAAACGAUGUGUGUUAGACGUUGGAAAUUUAUUUUCAGUGUCGCAGCGAAAGCGAUAAACACACCGCCUGGGGAGUACGACCGCAAGGUUAAAACUCAAAUGAAUUGACGGGGACCCGCACAAGUAGUGGAGCAUGGUG